UCUAAAGCAAUGGCUUUUGAUCUGAUCUACAGUUUUUGUUCUAGACCUUGGUGACAUCACUCUCACCUUAAAGAAAAAGCUUCUGAGCUUCUUUUCACACUCUCACCUAAUUUAGCUCUCUUCUUCUUGAAUUUCAUUUUGCUCUUGUUCUUGCUCUCUGGUUUCUCUUUGUUUUAGUGUGAGGGUUUAGUAGUAGUGGUAGUAGUAGAUACUAGAGAGUCAGGGACACAGAGAGAAGAGAAAUGAGGGGUCCUCUGGGAGCAAUCAUAGGGAAGUACCCUUCAAGCGAUGGAAAUACUCAGACGGAUGGGAUCAUAAGACACAACAGAAAGUGCAGAGAUGUUGUGUUUCUCAUACUUUUCAUCGCUUUCUGGGUUGCAAUGAUCGUUAAUUCUAGUAUCGGAUUCAACCAGGGAGACCCAUUGAGGCUAACAUAUGGGCUGGACUACAAAGGAAAUGUUUGUGGGGACAAACAUGCAGAUCCUGGUCUUCGAGAGUUGGAGCUUAGGUACUGGGUAAAUCCCAACCAGGUUUAUGAAAGCGGCCUAAAAAAUGGCCAGUUCAAGCUGGCUGAUGCUAGGAGUAUCUGCUUGUUGGAUUGCCCCAUCCCAUCUGAAGACUCGCUCAACUGGGUCUGCGAUUAUCCAGAGGGAGAUAUUCAUCUUUCUAUGAAUGACUGGAUAGAUAGGAAUUAUGAUUAUUUUGAGUACCUUACACCAGAUAUGAGGAACAGCUCUCUUCAACUUCAAGGUCCAUGCUACCCUGUUAUAUUUCCAAGUGUGAAUGUUUUUUGGAGUUGCCAAAUUAUUGUACGUGCAUCGAACAUGUCUUUGCGACAUUGGCAGCAGAUGGGUGGUGUAAAUAUCAAUGAAGACAUUAUUAUUGAUAAGUCUAUACAUAAAACCAUCAAUUCUCGAUCAGCUGUCUUAAAGAGAUAUGUGGCUGAUAUUGGGAAGGCAUGGCCAGUUUUGAUUGUUUGUGGAGCAAUCGUGCCGCUGUUUUUGUCAGUGAUCUGGCUAUUGAUGAUUCGGCAUUUUGUUGCGGGAAUGACAUGGAUAACGGUUAUCUUCUUCAAUGUUCUCAUAAUAUCAGUCACAAUAUUUUACUACUUGAAAGCUGGCUGGAUUGGCAAUGAUGCCAUCUCCCCCGUCAUUGGUGAGAGUGAUCCAUACUAUCAUGUUUCCGCGAGGGAGCAAAAUCACCUUCGUGCUGUUUCUGUUCUUAUGACCAUCGUAAUGGGUAUUGCUAUUCUUUCAUCACUUGCCAUUGUCAGACGCAUCCUUAUGGCAACAUCUGUCCUGAAGGUUGCUGCGAAGGUCAUUGGAGAAGUUCAGGCUCUCAUAAUAUUUCCUGUUAUACCAUAUACUAUCCUUUUGAUAGUUUACAUGUUCUGGUUUUCGGCGGCUUUCCAUCUGUUCAGCUCUGGCCAGAUUGUUCAGAAUGACUGCAAGUCCAAGUAUUGUGCUUAUGAUCUUGCCUCUAAGCAAGUGAGCUGUGGUCACUGUGGUUAUAGCAUCCAUUACACUCCUCAUAUUGCAAUUGCCAUCCUUUUCCACCUAUUUGGCUGUUAUUGGGCCACACAGUUUUUUAUUGCAUGUUCCUCAACUGUGAUUGCGGGAUCUGUUGCUUCUUAUUAUUGGGCUCGUGGUGAAAUCUCGCCAGAGAUUCCAUUUCUUCCUGUGUUUUCAUCAAUGAAGCGGCUCAUGCGGUACAGCCUAGGUUCUGUGGCCAUUGGUUCUCUGGUUGUAUCAUUUGUUGAAUCAGUCCGCUACAUACUUGAGUUCUUCCGCCGGAAGUUGAAAGUUUCAAAUACCACACCUGAAAGCAGUAUUGGCAAGGUUGGCUUUCAUUCUUCUCAGUGCUGUCGUGGAUGUAUUGACUGGACUGUGAAGUCUGUGAACCGCAAUGCCUACAUAAUGAUUGCCAUAAUGGGUAAAGGAUUUUUUAGAGCUUCUUCAAUUGCAACAGGUUUGAUCAUGAAUAACAUUCUUCGAAUUGGUAGGGUGAAUGUGAUCGGGGAUGUGAUUCUCUUUCUUGGGAAGUUGUGUGUCAGCCUCUCCAGUGCUGUGUUUGCAUUUCUCAUGUUAGACGCUCAUAAAUAUAGAUCUGCCCACAACAAGAUAUCCUCUCCACUGUUCCCUGUUCUGGUUUGUUGGUGGCUUGGCUAUGUUGUUGCGACUCUAUUCUUUGCGGUAGUGGAGAUGUCAAUUGACACCAUCAUCCUGUCUUUCUGCCAAGAUUCUGAGGAGCAUCAAGGGAACGCGCAGUAUGCCCCUCCUCUCCUGAUGGAGACCCUGAAUGACCAAAAUGAGAUGCAGAGACUCACUCAAGGAUCUUCCUGAGCUGUGCUGUGUAUGUCCUUCCUACAUUUGUUGAAAUCAGGAAGCAAAAAGCUUCAUAUAUUACCAGUUCUGCUGAUGUCAUCAGGUUGGCUACAUGGCCUCAGUUGUUUGCCAGAUGACUUCCACCUACUACUUGCCUCCCUUGGGAAGAUCCUUUGAUGGUACUGGAUUUAUGAUGUGGGUGCUCUCCGGCAUCUACAUUUACUAUUCAAGAUCAGUGUUACAUUUAAUUUUUCUAUUCUUGUUGGUCCAAGCUAGAUGUUUUCUCUUGUUAUAUGUGUACUCCAGCUUGAGGGGGAGUGUUGAAAUUGAGUCACGAGUUGGGGGAUUGUCCCAACUAUGAUUUAGUUAAUUACCUUCAUUUUUAGUUUCUCAUUUCCUAGUAAGGUUAAAUUUUUAUUUCCUAACUAGAGUACGUUUCUAUCUAUUCUCUUGUCGUACGAGGUACUAGUUACCUCAUUAUAUUGUGACUCAUUGACUAAUAUAUAUUGACGGUAGUAUAUAGAAUUAGUUGCCCUCUUCUCGGUAGGCUUACCUUCUU
Molecule: RNA transcript, 2883 nt
Organism: Macadamia integrifolia
Lineage: Eukaryota; Viridiplantae; Streptophyta; Magnoliopsida; Proteales; Proteaceae
Gene name: choline transporter protein 1
Exons: 11
Source: RefSeq, a predicted model, not a curated record